RNAcentral lists this ribosomal RNA (490 nucleotides) under uncultured bacterium. Its description in RNAcentral is "partial 16S ribosomal RNA". It matches the Rfam family "Bacterial small subunit ribosomal RNA", at positions 30 to 507 of the family's 1533-position model. The record is from RNAcentral.
AUUGAACGCUGGCGGCAGGCCUAACACAUGCAAGUCGAACGGUAACAGGAAGAAGCUUGCUUCUUUGCUGACGAGUGGCGGACGGGUGAGUAAUGUCUGGGAAACUGCCUGAUGGAGGGGGAUAACUACUGGAAACGGUAGCUAAUACCGCAUAAUGUCGCAAGACCAAAGAGGGGGACCUUCGGGCCUCUUGCCAUCGGAUGUGCCCAGAUGGGAUUAGCUAGUAGGUGGGGUAACGGCUCACCUAGGCGACGAUCCCUAGCUGGUCUGAGAGGAUGACCAGCCACACUGGAACUGAGACACGGUCCAGACUCCUACGGGAGGCAGCAGUGGGGAAUAUUGCGCAAUGGGCGCAAGCCUGAUGCAGCUAUGCCGCGUGUAUGAAGAAGGCCUUCGGGUUGUAAAGUACUUUCAGCGGGGAGGAAGGGAGUAAAGUUAAUACCUUUGCUCAUUGACGUUACCCGCAGAAGAAGCACCGGCUAACUCCGUG